This 473-nucleotide long non-coding RNA is filed under the name Sarcophilus harrisii (Tasmanian devil). Its description in RNAcentral is "lncRNA (ENSSHAG00000022531.1)". Lineage: Eukaryota; Metazoa; Chordata; Mammalia; Dasyuromorphia; Dasyuridae. The record is from RNAcentral.
GCUCCUUCGUCUGGUUUGCGGAGGCUCUAGAGACCGGGACUGGGUGGACACUAGGAGGGAGGGCCUCUUGCCCGGUCUUUGGGGGGUCAGACCGAAGGGUCUCGAGUCCAUCUCCAAUGAGCUAAAGAACGAGCGCAUGUGUGCACCCCCUGGGCUUGGAACAGGGCAGGAGAGAAGGUGGGGCGCAUGACCAGAAUGCCCGGUGUUGCGUGCCAGCCUGCACCGUGUGCCUGGGCUCCUUCCAACAGCGAAGAAACAUUUCUUAUGCACCUGCUGUGUGCCAGGCCCAAGCUGGCAGAGAAACCCAGAUGAGGAGGCCCGGCCAGGGGAAGAAAAAUGGAAGGAGGUGUGAGGGAGAAGUACUUCGGGCUGUGAGGAGGAGGAGGUGUAAGAAGAUUGGAAAAGGAGGGGCCCAAGUCAAAGAAGGCUUUGGAUUCUAAAUAGAGGAUUUUGAAUUUGAUUCUGGAAGCGAU